GUGAAGCUGGAUUCGCUAGUAAUCGCGCAUCAGCCAUGGCGCGGUGAAUACGUUCCCGGGCCUUGUACACACCGCCCGUCAAGCCAUGGAAGCCGGGGGUGCCUGAAGUGUGCAGCCGCAAGGAGCGCCCUAAGGUAAAACCGGUGACUGGGGCUAAGUCGUAACAAGGUAUC
Molecule: ribosomal RNA, 173 nt
Filed under: uncultured bacterium
Lineage: Bacteria
Description: partial 16S ribosomal RNA
Rfam family: Bacterial small subunit ribosomal RNA
Source: RNAcentral